This 464-nucleotide ribosomal RNA is filed under the name uncultured bacterium. RNAcentral's name for it is "bacterial SSU rRNA". It matches the Rfam family "Bacterial small subunit ribosomal RNA", at positions 29 to 506 of the family's 1533-position model. The record is from RNAcentral.
GUGAACGCUGGCGGCGUGCCUCAGACAUGCAAGUCGUACGAGAAAACCCCGCAAGGGGUGAGUAAAGUGGCGCACGGGUGAGUAAUACUUAGGUAACGUACCUUUCCGCGGAGAAUAACCAGGCGAAAGCUUGGCUAAUGCUGCAUACACCGCGAGAGACUGUGGUCUCUUUCGGGAAAGCCGUAAGGCGUGGAAAGGGCGGCCUGAGUCCCAUUAGCUAGUUGGCAGGGUAAUGGCCUACCAAGGCUACGAUGGGUAGCUGAUCUGAGAGGAUGAUCAGCCACACUGGAACUGGAACACGGUCCAGACUCCUACGGGAGGCAGCAGUUAGGAAUAUUGCACAAUGGGCGAAAGCCUGAUGCAGCGACGCCGCGUGAGUGAAGAAGGCCUUCGGGUUGUAAAACUCUUUUAGCAGGGAAAACAAAAAUGAUGGUACCUGCAGAAAAAGCACCGGCUAACUCCGU